RNAcentral lists this ribosomal RNA (484 nucleotides) under uncultured bacterium. Its description in RNAcentral is "partial 16S ribosomal RNA". It matches the Rfam family "Bacterial small subunit ribosomal RNA", at positions 28 to 523 of the family's 1533-position model. The record is from RNAcentral.
GACGAACGCUGGCGGCGUGCUUAACACAUGCAAGUCGAACGAUGAUGCUGGAGCUUGCUCCAGUUGAUUAGUGGCGAACGGGUGAGUAACCCGUGAGCAAUCUGCCCUUGACUCUGGAAUAACUGCGGGAAACUGUAGCUAAUACCGGAAACUUUCACCGGAAGGCAUCUUAUGGUGAUGAAAGAAUUUCGGUCAGGGAUGAGCUCGCGGCCUAUCAGCUUGUUGGUGAGGUAACGGCUCACCAAGGCGACGACGGGUAGCCGGCCUGAGAGGGUGACCGGCCACACUGGGACUGAGACACGGCCCAGACUCCUACGGGAGGCAGCAGUGGGGAAUAUUGCACAAUGGGCGCAAGCCUGAUGCAGCAACGCCGCGUGAGGGAUGAAGGCCUUCGGGUUGUAAACCUCUUUUAGCAGGGAAGAAGCGAAAGUGACGGUACCUGCAGAAAAAGCACCGGCUAACUACGUGCCAGCCGCCGCCGUAA